Molecule: ribosomal RNA, 168 nt
Filed under: Bacillus amyloliquefaciens
Lineage: Bacteria; Bacillati; Bacillota; Bacilli; Caryophanales; Bacillaceae
Also listed under: 1 other name
Description: partial 16S ribosomal RNA
Rfam family: Bacterial small subunit ribosomal RNA
Source: RNAcentral
UUAUCGGAGAGUUUGAUCCUGGCUCAGGACGAACGCUGGCGGCGUGCCUAAUACAUGCAAGUCGAGCGAACAGAUGGGAGCUUGCUCCCUGAUGUUAGCGGCGGACGGGUGAGUAACACGUGGGUAACCUGCCUGUAAGACUGGGAUAACUCCGGGAAACCGGGGCUA